This is a long non-coding RNA of Dreissena polymorpha, 2608 nucleotides long. RefSeq lists it as uncharacterized. The transcript is spliced from 3 exons. NCBI's taxonomy places the organism in Eukaryota, Metazoa, Mollusca, Bivalvia, Myida, Dreissenidae. The record is from RefSeq and is a predicted model, not a curated record.
UCUGCGCUGUUUGCCAAGGCCUUUUUUGUAGACACUAGGCAUAAUUGGGUUGGGUAGAUCUAUCCCCUGCUGUGAUUGGACUGAAAAACUUUUACUAAUAGGGGGACACCCUACAGAAGAAAUAGUCAGUUACUAAGACAUCUGUUUAAAAUGAGGAUGAAUAUGUUUGAGGUCUAUUUGGUAUGUUCAUGUAAAAAUAGCUCGUUACUAAGACAUCUGUUUAAAAUGAGGAUGAAUAUGUUUGAGGUCUAUUUGGUAUGUUCAUGUAAAAAUAGCUCGUUACUAAGACAUCUGUUUAAAAUGAGGAUGAAUAUGUUUGAGGUCUAUUUGGUAUGUUCAUGUAAAAAUAGCUCGUUACUAAGACAUCUGUUUAAAAUGAGGAUGAAUAUGUUUGAGUCUAUUUGAUUUGUCCUUGUAGAGUAGUUCAUCUUUAUUUUCACUAUAUUUCAAAUGAAAUCUUGUAUUUCUGAAACCAUUUCCACAGAUUAUGAAACCAUGAAUGUUUUUAUUGUUUUUCCUUGUAUAAUUGGCAAAUGUUGUUGUUUUUGUAUCUAAAUUAGGCCUUUAGUUCUGAGUUGUUUAAAAAGUGCUAUAAUAUUUUGUUAUACUGUUAAAAACAUGUGUGAUAUGAAGUUGAUUUGAAAAUAGAUUUGUUAUAAAUCUGAUCAUUUAAGUUUUGCAUUUUUGUUUUGUUGUAGAAUUGAACAUGUGAAUGUUAAAUGAAUGCAAACAUGUUUUCCCUUUUCACCCUUUUGCAAGCACAAAUAUUAUAAACCAAUGCUAUUUGUUUAAAUAGAAUUUUCAACCCUAGUUCUUAACUUAAAAUCCUUAAUCAAUAAUAUUUUCAUGAUUCCACAGCAAGGCAGAUGAUGUGCAUUUUUUAUCUGCUCGAUAGUGGUUACUACUGUCUGCUUAUAAAUGUAUAUAUGGGCUGUGCUCUGUGAAUAGGGGAUUUAAUGCAUGUACGUAAAGUGUCGUCGGAGAUUAGUCUGUUAAGUCUGCACAGGCUAAUCAGGGACGAAACUUUUUGCUUAAACAAGAUUUGUGCGAAGAAGAGACUUUCUUGAAUCGAAAAAUAUCAUAAAAGCGGAAAGUGUUUUCCCUAAUAAGCCUGUGCAGACCCCUUUUCACAGAGCACGGGGCAUAUAUAGGAGUCUUUUCACGUUAAUUAUUACUAAAUUCACACUUAUUAAUCAUUUCAUUUACUCCUUAAUAAACUAAAUUUACAAAAACGUAUAACAUCAAAAUAAGUUUCAAUGCAGUCUGUGACACAUUUCUACUUUAAUUAUAUUUUGUAGAAUCUACGGCAGCAGACGUGCUUUUGUCUUGUUUAUACACUUAUUUCUGUAUGUGAGUCAUUUGCAAACGAUUUGAAUACUGAACACUUUCAACUUUAUUGAUUUGUGUGAUAUUAAUUUGUGAAUAAAGUAAAUAUUAAAACUGUAAACAUCAAUUAUGUAAACAAAAAAUUUAAAAAAAAAAUAAAAUUCCCCAUUUAAUGGUCCACAAUAUAUUUAAAGUUUUAACUAGCAAGAUGCUGAUAUUUUUAAUACAGAUAGUAGCAUAUAUUUUUUGGCUUGUUGCUUAUAUUUUUAUUAUAUUUAUGUUUAUUAAGUAUGUGUUAGAAACUUAAUUAAAAUUAAAAAGAUUUUUUUUUUGCUUUUAUGUUUUUGUUACAAAUGGCGGCUAAACAUGUGUAUAAAAUCCAGUACAGAUGGCACUUGUUAGUCACCUUUGUCUAUCAAGGUAGAUAAUUAUGUAUCAAUUGUUAAAAUAAUAAUUGAAAUUGUGUCCCUUGCCACACGUAGUGCAUUGUUCAUUGUUUUGUCAAGUUUUCUGAACUAUUUAGGAAUACAUUUUUUUAUGUUGUCAACCAUUAAAUAAUGAAUGAAAUUAUAUAAGAAGAAGGAACAUACAAUUGUCUUAAAUAUGGUUCGAGUAUUGAAGUUUUAGUAACAUUCAAAUAAAUUUGACUCUUUUUGUUUCGAACUAAAAUUUAGUAAUGAUUUUUUACAUGUUUUUUGUUUUUGCAAAAUGUUGUUCUUUUGUCUCAACUGAAACAUUGUUGAAAUGUUGAUUUUUAUUACUGAUUCCUUCGACGACACAUUUUAUUGCUCCAUUAUUUAAGUCAUAAAUAUUCCAUUUGUCUAAAAAGCAGCUAUUGUAUUUAAGAGUAAAUACAGUAUGUGUGUAAUUAAUACUAUUUUUGUUAAUGGUAAAAUUGAUGAAAGUGAGUUUCAGUAAAUGUAAAUUCAUAGAAUUUGUUAUGUACAUUGAUGUGUCAUGUUUUGUUGAAAUAGAAAGAUAUUAAGGUUUUAUUUAGAAUAAGGGGUGAUUUCCAUUUUGGAAAUUUGAAUACCGGUAAGAGUGCUUGUUUUGUGACGCUGAUUCAAAUGAAUGUAUGUCUGGCUUUUGUUUUGAUAAGUUACAUGUUAAGUUCUAAGAGAAGAAUUACAUGAUAGUUAAGAUUUGUUGUUUAAACUUGAUUCUGGUUAAUAGACCUUUGUAAAUUGCUAUAACAUGAUGUGUGUAGUAUGUUGGAACAAAAUUUACUGAAGUGUGAAUAUUAAAAUUGUGAACGCAAAGAAAAUAUAUGUUGCGAACCAUU